CCUACGGGUGGCAGCAGUGGGGAAUAUUGCACAAUGGGCGCAAGCCUGAUGCAGCCAUGCCGCGUGUGUGAAGAAGGCCUUCGGGUUGUAAAGCACUUUCAGCGGGGAGGAAGGCGGUGAGGUUAAUAACCUCAUCGAUUGACGUUACCCGCAGAUGAAGCACCGGCUAACUCCGUGCCAGCAGCAGCGGUAAUACGGAGGGUGCAAGCGUUAAUCGGAAUUACUGGGCGUAAAGCGCACGCAGGCGGUCUGUCAAGUCGGAUGUGAAAUCCCCGGGCUCAACCUGGGAACUGCAUUCGAAACUGGCAGGCUAGAGUCUUGUAGAGGGGGGUAGAAUUCCAGGUGUAGCGGUGAAAUGCGUAGAGAUCUGGAGGAAUACCGGUGGCGAAGGCGGCCCCCUGGACAAAGACUGACGCUCAGGUGCGAAAGCGUGGGGAGCAAACAGGAUUAGAUACCCGUGUAGUC
Molecule: ribosomal RNA, 465 nt
Filed under: uncultured Klebsiella sp.
Lineage: Bacteria; Pseudomonadati; Pseudomonadota; Gammaproteobacteria; Enterobacterales; Enterobacteriaceae
Description: bacterial SSU rRNA
Rfam family: Bacterial small subunit ribosomal RNA
Source: RNAcentral